CAGUAGCCGCGGGAAUACAGAGGGUGCGAGCGUUAAUCGGAUUUACUGGGCGUAAAGCGUGCGUAGGCGGCUAAUUGAGUCGGAUGUGAAAUCCCCGAGCUUAACUUGGGAAUUGCAUUCGAUACUGGUUAGCUAGAGUGUGGGAGAGGAUGGUAGAAUUCCAGGUGUAGCGGUGAAAUGCGUAGAGAUCUGGAGGAAUACCGAUGGCGAAGGCAGCCAUCUGGCCUAACACUGACGCUGAGGUACGAAAGCAUGGGGAGCAAACAGGAUUAGAGACCCCGGUAGUCCCUGUCUCUUAUAC
Molecule: ribosomal RNA, 301 nt
Filed under: uncultured bacterium
Lineage: Bacteria
Description: partial 16S ribosomal RNA
Rfam family: Bacterial small subunit ribosomal RNA
Source: RNAcentral